Long non-coding RNA from Macrobrachium nipponense, 846 nucleotides. RefSeq lists it as uncharacterized. NCBI's taxonomy places the organism in Eukaryota, Metazoa, Arthropoda, Malacostraca, Decapoda, Palaemonidae. The record is from RefSeq and is a predicted model, not a curated record. The transcript is spliced from 3 exons.
CAUAAUACAAUAAGGAUAUAUUUGUUUGAAAAAUGUUGAUGUGGGUUGGAGCGAGUUGUAACUUAUUGCGCAUCUGGAAUAUCUUUUGUUUACCCAUAUUUCAGUGUCGCACGGUUAGCGGGAGAAGGCGAACUGCCGUAAAAUUUUCUAACCACUCUGGUACUGCCUAUUGUGUUGAGUGGUGGUGACAGGUGUUAUUCUUAUGGAUGUAAACACAAGAAUGAAGUCAGUGACAUGUAAGGCCGGCAAGUGAUGGGAUAUUGGUGUUUGGCAAUCUCCUACUGGGGUUCAAGGCCUAUGAUAGUGAGGCCAUUGAAGUUGAAACCUAUAGUUGGCAAUAAAAACUGUUACUACUUAUGGUCCAUCCUUGAACAUCCCAGUACAUUUCAACUUCAUCCGCCAUGGGUGUGCAAGAGGAACUCGUCGCCCUGAAGAGGAAGAGGGCAAUCAACAAAGGGAAGUUCACCAGGAAGUGUCGCACGGUUAGCGGGAGAAGGCGAACUGCCGUAAAAUUUUCUAACCACUCUGGUACUGCCUAUUGUGUUGAGUGGUGGUGGCUGGUGGUGACAGGUGUUAUUCUUAUGGAUGUAAACACAAGAAUGAAGUCAGUGACAUGUAAGGCCGGCAAGUGAUGGGAUAUUGGUGUUUGGCAAUCUCCUACUGGGGUUCAAGGCCUAUGAUAGUGAGGCCAUUGAAGUGAGUGCAAUACAGUGUAUUAUGGAUGUUGUAUGAUAUUUCAAUUGGAAUUGCCCUUAUUGGUAAUUGGAUUCUAUGUAUAUAUACAGUAAUGCUUUAUGAUAUGAGUACAUUUAAUUUGAUGCCAAGUGCUUUAGUGGCUACAGUACC